UUUCUUAACACGAUAUCCAUGGCUAGCCACUGUUUCUUAACACGAUACCCAUGGCUAGCCACUGUUUCUUAACACGAUACCCAUGGCUAGCCACUGUUUCUUAACACGAUACCCAUGGCUAGCCACUGUUGCUUAACACGAUACCCAUGGCUAGCCACUGUUUCUUAACACGAUACCCAUGGCUAGCCACUGUUUCUUAACACGAUACCCAUGGCUAGCCACUGUUUCUUAACACGAUACCCAUGGCUAGCCACUGUUUCUUAACACGAUACCCAUGGCUAGCCACUGUUUCUUAACACGAUACCCAUGGCUAGCCACUGUUUCUUAACACGAUACCCAUGGCUAGCCACUGUUUCUUAACACGAUACCCAUGGCUAGCCACUGUUUCUUAACACGAUACCCAUGGCUAGCCACUGUUUCUUAACACGAUACCCAUGGCUAGCCACUGUUUCUUAACACGAUACCCAGGGCUAAUUUGUAUCUAACUAUUGUUGUGUCUCUGUGUUUCAGAUCUUCUAUGACCUGGUCAGGCAAAUCAACAGGAAAACCCCAGUACCUGGGAAGACACGCAAAAAGUCCAACUGUCAGCUCCUCUAAUACACAGCUGCUCUGUCGCACUGAGUCAGGUCUGAUUUGCUGCUGUCUCUCUCAGCAGUGCCAGCAUUCCGACGUUACUAAAACCUAACAUGGAAUGGACUUUCCUGUGUGGUGACGCCCCUUUAACAACAACCAACCAACCAACCAACCAACAAACCAACGGAUUCAAAGCUACAAUACAUCAGUUUUUACACACAGAUUAACCAUUAUCACUUUCCAGUGUCACGAGAACAAGAUUUCUACUUACAAAUAUAUAUAUUCUAACUGUAUGCAACUGAAAUGGAAAAAUUAAGGUCAGAAAAUAAAGUAAAUUUAAUAAAUAAAAUUGGUAAAUCAGUCAAAAUGAAUCAAAAUAAAAUCCCGAUCCCUACACACAGUGUUAUUGCUAACGGAGACAGUAGCCGUAGAAACGGAUGUCUAACCAGAAUGUGCACGUUGCCAUGGUGAGUAGCUACAACGAUGCGGUAUUUAUAAGCACCUCUAUAUUAGCCAGAGAAAAAAGUCCCAAAGAGCAUCUAUAUAGUCCGGUUCAUACAGCUAACUUGCUCCUGUGGUUUAUUUUCUAACUUUUUAUUUGUACCUUUUUAUAUUUUCCUUCGAUCAUUCAACAUCAUUUUUCUGUCUUUUUAUUUCUUUUUAAAUGACUAGUUUUGUCUCUACUGAGAGAUGCUAUACUGCGACAGCUAUUGCUAUGAGUUUUAUUUGAGGAGUAAACCUGUGGAUACAACAGUGAUUAUUAUUAUUAUAUGUGAGUUUUAUUUGAGGAGUAAACCUGUGGAUACAAAAGUGAUUAUUAUUAUUAUUAUGUGUAAAAAGAAAAAAAAAGUAUGGUGUUUUUUCAGUAACUAUCAUAUUGUCUUUUAGCCUGAUGAUGUUGCCUUCAAAUAGGUUUUUUUUUGUUCUGGAGAAUCCAACUAUGAUCCAAUCAUCUUUCUUUCUGGAGAAUCCAACUAUGAUCCAAUCAUCCUUCUAUGUCAUGCCUGGGUUUCCUUGUGUGCGUCUGAAAUGGCACCCGAGUGUACUACAUUUGACCAGAGCCCAAUGGGUGUCCCUAUUGGUUUCCCUAUAGGCCCUGGUCAAAAGUAGUACACUAUAUAGGGAACUAGGGUGCAAUUUUGGAGGCAGCCCUUGUGUUGUUUACAAAGAUGUUUGUACAGUGGGGUUUUUCAAUUGGGGUUGUGGUCAAAGAGGGACUGGACAUUUUAACAAGCUACCAAACUUCUGAGACACCAAUGGCCAGACGUGACUGGGCGAUCCUCAUCAUGUUUUUUUUUACUUUAUCCUUCCAAGGCCGUCUCUCAUUGGUUGGUUUGUCCAGUUAGCCAAUCCCCUCUCAUGGAAUCUGCGAUCUACAACAGGAAGUAUAGAUUUUUAAUACAAAAAAAAUAAAGAACAACAUGUCAUUGGUGA
Molecule: long non-coding RNA, 2007 nt
Organism: Salvelinus namaycush (lake trout)
Lineage: Eukaryota; Metazoa; Chordata; Actinopteri; Salmoniformes; Salmonidae
Exons: 2
Source: RefSeq, a predicted model, not a curated record